AACGAACGCUGGCGGCAUGCCUAACACAUGCAAGUCGAACGAGACCUUCGGGUCUAGUGGCGCACGGGUGCGUAACGCGUGGGAACCUGCCCUUAGGUUCGGAAUAACUCCCCGAAAGGGGUGCUAAUACCGGAUAAUGUCUUCGGACCAAAGAUUUAUCGCCUUUGGGUGGGCCCGCGUUGGAUUAGCUAGUUGGUAGGGUAAAAGCCUACCAAGGCGACGAUCCAUAGCUGGUCUGAGAGGAUGAGCAGCCACACUGGGACUGAGACACGGCCCAGACUCCUACGGGAGGCAGCAGUGGGGAAUAUUGGACAAUGGGCGAAAGCCUGAUCCAGCAAUGCCGGGUGAGUGAUGAAGGCCGUAGGGUUGUAAAGCUCUUUUACCCGGGAUGAUAAUGACAGUACCGGGAGAAUAAGCUCCGGCUAACUCCGUG
RNAcentral lists this ribosomal RNA (433 nucleotides) under uncultured bacterium. RNAcentral's name for it is "partial 16S ribosomal RNA". It matches the Rfam family "Bacterial small subunit ribosomal RNA", at positions 29 to 507 of the family's 1533-position model. The record is from RNAcentral.